UCUUGGGAACUGACUCAGUCUACAACUGAGCACCUGCCCUUCAGCAGGAACUCAAUAAAAAUGGGGUGAACCAAC
Long non-coding RNA from Eptesicus fuscus (big brown bat), 75 nucleotides. RefSeq lists it as uncharacterized. The transcript has 2 exons. The record is from RefSeq and is a predicted model, not a curated record. NCBI's taxonomy places the organism in Eukaryota, Metazoa, Chordata, Mammalia, Chiroptera, Vespertilionidae.